Molecule: unclassified non-coding RNA, 246 nt
Filed under: Phaeomoniellales sp.
Lineage: Eukaryota; Fungi; Ascomycota; Eurotiomycetes; Phaeomoniellales
Description: partial contains 5.8S ribosomal RNA, internal transcribed spacer 2, and large subunit ribosomal RNA
Source: RNAcentral
CGCACAUUGCGCCCUUUGGUAUUCCGAAGGGCAUGCCUGUUCGAGCGUCAUUUUCAACCAUCAAGCCCGGCUUGUAAUUGGGUCCCUUGUCGUUAAGACCGACAGGCCUGAAAGAUAAUGACGGCGUCAAGUUGGGCCCCCGGUGCAGCGAGCUUUUGAGCACACACCGGGUCGGUCCGCUUGACCCUGUUUGACCAAUUAUUCCAGGUUGACCUCGGAUCAGGUAGGAAUACCCGCUGAACUUAA